GCCGGUGUGGCUCAAUGGUAGAGCACCUGCCUUGUAAGCAGGUGGUUGCGGGUUCGAUUCCCGCCGCCGGCUCCA
RNAcentral lists this transfer RNA (75 nucleotides) under Planctomycetota bacterium. RNAcentral's name for it is "Planctomycetes bacterium (bioreactor metagenome) tRNA-Thr". It matches the Rfam family "tRNA". Rfam says of the family: Transfer RNA (tRNA) molecules are approximately 80 nucleotides in length. Lineage: Bacteria; Pseudomonadati; Planctomycetota. The record is from RNAcentral.